CCCUUAGAUGUUCUGGGCCGCACGCGCACUACACUGAUCGGUGCAACAAGCAUCCGUCCUUGGCCGACAGGCCCGGGCAAUCUUUGAACGCCGGUCGUGAUGGGGAUAGACCUUUGCAAUUUUUGGUCUUCAACGAGGAAUUCCUAGUAAACGCAAGUCAUCAACUUGCAUUGAUUACGUCCCUGCCCUUUGUACACACCGCCCGUCGCACCUACCGAUUGAAUGGUCCGGUGAAACCUCCGGAUUGGCGCGUGCCCUCGGGCGCCGCCGAGAAGUUGGUUAAACCUUACCAUUUAGAGGAAGGUGAAGUCGUAACA
Molecule: ribosomal RNA, 317 nt
Filed under: uncultured eukaryote
Lineage: Eukaryota
Description: partial 18S ribosomal RNA
Rfam family: Eukaryotic small subunit ribosomal RNA
Source: RNAcentral